This 69-nucleotide transfer RNA is filed under the name Rhyacionia leptotubula (pine tip moth). RNAcentral's name for it is "tRNA-Leu". The record is from RNAcentral. Lineage: Eukaryota; Metazoa; Arthropoda; Insecta; Lepidoptera; Tortricidae.
GCUAUUUUGGCAGAAAAGUGUGAUGGUUUUAGAAAUCAUUUAUAUAUAAAUUUAAUUAUAUAGGUAGUA